This 1443-nucleotide ribosomal RNA is filed under the name uncultured organism. Its description in RNAcentral is "16S ribosomal RNA". It matches the Rfam family "Bacterial small subunit ribosomal RNA". The record is from RNAcentral.
GAACGCUGGCGGCGUGCUUAACACAUGCAAGUCGAACGGAAAGGCCCUGCUUUUGUGGGGUGCUCGAGUGGCGAACGGGUGAGUAACACGUGAGUAACCUGCCCUUGACUUUGGGAUAACUUCAGGAAACUGGGGCUAAUACCGGAUAGGAGCUCCUGCUGCAUGGUGGGGGUUGGAAAGUUUCGGCGGUUGGGGAUGGACUCGCGGCUUAUCAGCUUGUUGGUGGGGUAGUGGCUUACCAAGGCUUUGACGGGUAGCCGGCCUGAGAGGGUGACCGGCCACAUUGGGACUGAGAUACGGCCCAGACUCCUACGGGAGGCAGCAGUGGGGAAUAUUGCACAAUGGGCGGAAGCCUGAUGCAGCAACGCCGCGUGCGGGAUGACGGCCUUCGGGUUGUAAACCGCUUUCGCCUGUGACGAAGCGUGAGUGACGGUAAUGGGUAAAGAAGCACCGGCUAACUACGUGCCAGCAGCCGCGGUGAUACGUAGGGUGCGAGCGUUGUCCGGAUUUAUUGGGCGUAAAGGGCUCGUAGGUGGUUGAUCGCGUCGGAAGUGUAAUCUUGGGGCUUAACCCUGAGCGUGCUUUCGAUACGGGUUGACUUGAGGAAGGUAGGGGAGAAUGGAAUUCCUGGUGGAGCGGUGGAAUGCGCAGAUACCAGGAGGAACACCAGUGGCGAAGGCGGUUCUCUGGGCCUUUCCUGACGCUGAGGAGCGAAAAGCGUGGGGAGCGAACAGGCUUAGAUACCCUGGUAGUCCACGCUGUAAACGGUGGGUACUAGGUGUGGGGUCCAUUCCACGGGUUCCGUGCCGUAGCUAACGCUUUAAGUACCCCGCCUGGAGGAGUACGGCCGCAAGGCUAAAACUCAAAGGAAUUGACGGGGCCCCGCACAAGCGGCGGAGCAUGCGGAUUAAUUCGAUGCAACGCGUAGAACCUUACCUGGGUUUGACAUGGAUCGGGAGUGCUCAGAGAUGGGUGUGCCUCUUUUGGGGUCGGUUCACAGGUGGUGCAUGGCUGUCGUCAGCUCGUGUCGUGAGAUGUUGGGUUAAGUCCCGCAACGAGCGCAACCCUUGUUCACUGUUGCCAGCACGUUAUGGUGGGGACUCAGUGGAGACCGCCGGGGUCAACUCGGAGGAAGGUGGGGAUGACGUCAAGUCAUCAUGCCCCUUAUGUCCAGGGCUUCACGCAUGCUACAAUGGCUGGUACAGAGAGUGGCGAGCCUGUGAGGGUGAGCGAAUCUCGGAAAGCCGGUCUCAGUUCGGAUUGGGGUCUGCAACUCGACCUCAUGAAGUCGGAGUCGCUAGUAAUCGCAGAUCAGCAACGCUGCGGUGAAUACGUUCCCGGGGCUUGUACACACCGCCCGUCAAGUCAUGAAAGUUGGUAACACCCGAAGCCGGUGGCCUAACCGUUGUGGGGGAGCCGUCGAAGGUGGGACUGGUGAUUAGG